This 1201-nucleotide ribosomal RNA is filed under the name Eggplant big bud phytoplasma. RNAcentral's name for it is "bacterial SSU rRNA". It matches the Rfam family "Bacterial small subunit ribosomal RNA", at positions 173 to 1374 of the family's 1533-position model. The record is from RNAcentral. Lineage: Bacteria; Bacillati; Mycoplasmatota; Mollicutes; Acholeplasmatales; Acholeplasmataceae.
AUAGGAAGAUAAAAGGCAUCUUUUAUCUUUUAAAAGACCUAGUAAUAGGAAUGCUUUAGGAGGGGCUUGCGCCAUAUUAGUUAGUUGGUAGGGUAAUGGCCUACCAAGACGAUGAUGUGUAGCUGGACUGAGAGGGUGAACAGCCACAUUGGGACUGAGACACGGCCCAAACUCCUACGGGAGGCAGCAGUAGGGAAUUUUCGGCAAUGGAGGAAACUCUGACCGAGCAACGCCGCGUGAAUGACGAAGUACUUCGGUAUGUAAAGUUCUUUUAUCAAGGAAGAAAAGCAAAUGGCGAACCAUUUGUUUGCCGGUACCUGAUGAAUAAGCCCCGGCUAAUUAUGUGCCAGCAGCCGCGGUAAGACAUAAGGGGCAAGUGUUAUCCGGAAUUAUUGGGCGUAAAGGGUGCGUAGGCGGUCUAGUAAGUCAGUGGUGUAAUGGCAACGCUUAACGUUGUCCGGCUAUUGAAACUGCUAAACUUGAGUUAGAUAGAGGCGAGUGGAAUUCCAUGUGUAGCGGUAAAAUGCGUAAAUAUAUGGAGGAACACCAGAGGCGUAGGCGGCUCGCCGGGUCUUAACUGACGCUGAGGCACGAAAGCGUGGGGAGCAAACAGGAUUAGAUACCCUGGUAGUCCACGCCGCAAACGAUGAGUACUAGUGUCGGGUUAAACCGGUACUGAAGUUAACACAUUAAGUACUCCGCCUGAGUAGUACGUACGCAAGUAUGAAACUUAAAGGAAUUGACGGGACUCCGCACAAGCGGUGGAUCAUGUUGUUUAAUUCGAAGAUACCCGAAAAACCUUACCAGGUCUUGACAUGUUUUUGCAAAAUGAUAGUAAUAUCGUGGAGGUUACCAGAAACACAGGUGGUGCAUGGUUGUCGUCAGCUCGUGUCGUGAGAUGUUAGGUUAAGUCCUAAAACGAGCGAAACCCUUAUCGUUAGUUGCCAGCACGUUAUGGUGGGGACUUUAACGAGACUGCCAAUGAUAAAUUGGAGGAAGGUGAGGAUCACGUCAAAUCAGCAUGCCCCUUAUGACCUGGGCUACAAACGUGAUACAAUGGCUGUUACAAAGGGUAGCUGAAACGCAAGUUCUUGGCCAAUCCCCAAAAACAGUCCCAGUCCGGAUUGAAGUCUGCAACUCGACUUCAUGAAGUUGGAAUCGCUAGUAAUCGGGAAUCAGCAUGUCGCGGUGAAUACGUUCU